Molecule: unclassified non-coding RNA, 287 nt
Filed under: Geastrum hariotii
Lineage: Eukaryota; Fungi; Basidiomycota; Agaricomycetes; Geastrales; Geastraceae
Description: partial contains 5.8S ribosomal RNA, internal transcribed spacer 2, and large subunit ribosomal RNA
Source: RNAcentral
CACAUCUUGCGCUCCUUGGCAUUCCGAGGAGCAUGCCUGUUUGAGUGUCGUGAAUUGCUCUCAAUUUCUAAUCUUUCUUUGGAUGGAUUUGAAAUUGGAUUUGGAUGAUGUUGUGAAAAAGUGAUCACAACUGAUCCUAAAUGGAUUAACGGUCUGAAUUUGAUCACGCAAUGUGAUAAGUUGAAAUGUGCAUUGUUUAAAGAUGAAAGACAGACUGUGUAUAGAUGAUUAACUUUUGUUAUAUGUCAUUUGACCUCAAAUCAGGUAGGAUUACCCGCUGAACUUAA